Molecule: ribosomal RNA, 257 nt
Filed under: Proteus mirabilis
Lineage: Bacteria; Pseudomonadati; Pseudomonadota; Gammaproteobacteria; Enterobacterales; Morganellaceae
Description: partial 23S ribosomal RNA
Rfam family: Bacterial large subunit ribosomal RNA
Source: RNAcentral
UGUAUAAUGGGUCAGCGACUUAUAUUCUGUAGCAAGGUUAACCGUAUAGGGGAGCCGUAGGGAAACCGAGUCUUAACUGGGCGAAUGAGUUGCAGGGUAUAGACCCGAAACCCGGUGAUCUAUCCAUGGGCAGGUUGAAGGUUGGGUAACACUAACUGGAGGACCGAACCGACUAAUGUUGAAAAAUUAGCGGAUGACUUGUGGAUGGGGGUGAAAGGCCAAUCAAACCGGGAGAUAGCUGGUUCUCCCCGAAAGCU